AGAGUUUGAUCAUGGCUCAGAGUGAACGCUGGCGGCGUGCUUAACACAUGCAAGUCGAACGAGAACGGUCCUUCGGGAUGUCAGCUAAGUGGCGGACGGGUGAGUAAUGUAUAGUUAAUCUGCCCUUUAGAGAGGAAUAACUACUGGAAACGGUAGCUAAUACCUCAUACUCCUUUUACAUUAAUUGUAAUUGGGAAAUGUUUUUUCGCUAAAGGAUGAGACUAUAUGGUAUCAGGUAGUUGGUGGGGUAAGAGCCUACCAAGCCAAUGACGCCUAGCUGGUCUGAGAGGAUGAUCAGCCACACUGGAACUGAGACACGGUCCAGACUCCUACGGGAGGCAGCAGUGGGGAAUAUUGCACAAUGGAGGAAACUCUGAUGCAGCAACGCCGCGUGGAGGAUGACGCAUUUCGGUGUGUAAACUCCUUUUAUAUGGGAAGANAA
This 442-nucleotide ribosomal RNA is filed under the name uncultured bacterium. RNAcentral's name for it is "bacterial SSU rRNA". It matches the Rfam family "Bacterial small subunit ribosomal RNA", at positions 8 to 451 of the family's 1533-position model. The record is from RNAcentral.